GGACCGAAUACGAGUGUGACAAAACCAACAAAUGGAGAAUAAACUUCUUCAUCUCUUCCUCCUCAAAGCGGGAUGAGUACAAAAACCGAAUGAAUGCAUAAACAGCUUCAAAAGGUGCACCGAGAAUUUUGAUAUAUCUAAUUCCAUUCUUAACUUUUGAUUGCUGAAGAAGAUUCUGGAGUACUGGUGAUGCAAUACUCAAAACAUUGAAAUGAGCUGGAAUAUAUGAUUUGCCAUCUGUAAUAAUAUAGACAUCUGAACCAUAUCCUUCCUUGAAUAGCCUGUCCCAUGAAUCUAAUAUCUCCUUUGGGACAGAGGAACACCCUGAAAUUCUUUUGUGAUUGGUUCUAAAUGUUCUAUCAGGAAAAGGAGGUGGUUUGGGUAUGCUACUAUGGUAGGACAUAGAAGAGGCGGGAGAUUCCAGCACAUGUAAAACAUCGGAAGAAUUCAUUCCCUCCAUAUUUAUAUUGAAACAUCCACUAACAGAUUCACCAGCUGCAGAUAGCCAGGAGGAAUGAAGAUCUGGUGAAGCCAUUGUCUAAUGAACUUACUUUUAUAUCAAUAAAUAACAACAAAAAGAAUCUUGAAA
This 589-nucleotide unclassified non-coding RNA is filed under the name Hevea brasiliensis (rubber tree). Lineage: Eukaryota; Viridiplantae; Streptophyta; Magnoliopsida; Malpighiales; Euphorbiaceae. The record is from RNAcentral.